GGUGACCAGCGGAGGGAUCAUUACCGAGUUUACAACUCCCAAACCCCUGUGAACAUACCUUAUGUUGCCUCGGCGGAUCAGCCCGCGCCCCGUAAAAAGGGACGGCCCGCCGCAGGAACCCUAAACUCUGUUUUUAGUGGAACUUCUGAGUAUAAAAAACAAAUAAAUCAAAACUUUCAACAACGGAUCUCUUGGUUCUGGCAUCGAUGAAGAACGCAGCAAAAUGCGAUAAGUAAUGUGAAUUGCAGAAUUCAGUGAAUCAUCGAAUCUUUGAACGCACAUUGCGCCCGCCAGUAUUCUGGCGGGCAUGCCUGUUCGAGCGUCAUUUCAACCCUCAAGCCCAGCUUGGUGUUGGGAGCUGCAGUCCUGCUGCACUCCCCAAAUACAUUGGCGGUCACGUCGAGCUUCCAUAGCGUAGUAAUUUACAUAUCGUUACUGGUAAUCGUCGCGGCCACGCCGUUAAACCCCAACUUCUGAAUGUUGACCUCGGAUCAGGUAGGAAUACCCGCUGAACUUAAGCAUAUCAAUAAGCGGAGGA
This 538-nucleotide ribosomal RNA is filed under the name uncultured Nectriaceae. Its description in RNAcentral is "eukaryotic LSU rRNA". The stretch from base 172 to 325 matches the Rfam family "5.8S ribosomal RNA". The record is from RNAcentral. Lineage: Eukaryota; Fungi; Ascomycota; Sordariomycetes; Hypocreales; Nectriaceae.